Molecule: long non-coding RNA, 207 nt
Filed under: Volvox carteri
Lineage: Eukaryota; Viridiplantae; Chlorophyta; Chlorophyceae; Chlamydomonadales; Volvocaceae
Description: long non-coding RNA (VCAR_LNC002662)
Source: RNAcentral
GCAGCCAGCUGCGUCAUUGUGCUGAUGAAUAGCUGCUGCUGUGCAUCUAGCAGCAUGCCAUCGAGCAUCGGUGGCACCUUGCUGCCGCCGGGCCCCACCCACUCUUUGCAGUAGUGGUCCUUAAUGAUCUUCUUGAGCUUCGCCUUGAUGUCUGGCACGGUUGGCGCUUGCACAGCCUCCCAGUAUUCGCUGUAGACGAUAGAGAAC